Molecule: ribosomal RNA, 253 nt
Filed under: uncultured bacterium
Lineage: Bacteria
Description: partial 16S ribosomal RNA
Rfam family: Bacterial small subunit ribosomal RNA
Source: RNAcentral
UACAGAGGGUGCGAGCGUUAAUCGGAAUUACUGGGCGUAAAGCGUGCGUAGACGGUUAUUUAAGUCGGGUGUGAAAGCCCCGGGCUCAACCUGGGAAUUGCAUUCGAGACUGCAUUGCUAGAGUAUGGGAGAGGGAAGUGGAAUUUCCGGUGUAGCGGUGAAAUGCGUAGAUAUCGGAAGGAACAUCAGUGGCGAAAGCGACUUCCUGGACCAAUACUGACGCUCAUGUGCGAAAGCGUGGGGAGCAAACAGG